Molecule: non-coding RNA, 29 nt
Filed under: Rattus norvegicus (Norway rat)
Lineage: Eukaryota; Metazoa; Chordata; Mammalia; Rodentia; Muridae
Source: RNAcentral
UGAAAACUGCAACUGAAUGGUGACUAGAU